This 472-nucleotide ribosomal RNA is filed under the name uncultured bacterium. RNAcentral's name for it is "bacterial SSU rRNA". It matches the Rfam family "Bacterial small subunit ribosomal RNA", at positions 28 to 507 of the family's 1533-position model. The record is from RNAcentral.
GAUGAACGCUAGCUACAGGCUUAACACAUGCAAGUCGCGGGGUCUGUUUCGGCAGACGACCGGCGCACGGGUGAGUAACGCGUAUCCAACCUGCCCCUCUCUUUGGCAUAGCCUUUCGAAAGAGAGAUUAAUUCCGAAUAACGUAGUAACGUUGCCUGAUGAUACUACGAAAGCUCCGGCGGAGAGGGAUGGGGAUGCGUUCCAUUAGGUAGUAGGCGGGGUAACGGCCCACCUAGCCUACGAUGGAUAGGGGUUCUGAGAGGAAGGUCCCCCACAUUGGAACUGAGACACGGUCCAAACUCCUACGGGAGGCAGCAGUGAGGAAUAUUGGUCAAUGGGCGAAAGCCUGAACCAGCCAAGUCGCGUGAAGGAUGAAGGUUCUAUGGAUUGUAAACUUCUUUUGUCUGAGGGUAAAAAGCGGACGUGUCCGUUCUUGCAAGUAUCAGACGAAUAAGCAUCGGCUAACUCCGUG